RNAcentral lists this ribosomal RNA (301 nucleotides) under uncultured bacterium. RNAcentral's name for it is "partial 16S ribosomal RNA". It matches the Rfam family "Bacterial small subunit ribosomal RNA", at positions 509 to 807 of the family's 1533-position model. The record is from RNAcentral.
CAGUCGCCGCGGGAAUACAGAGGAUGCAAGCGUUAUCCGGAAUGAUUGGGCGUAAAGUGUCUGUAGGUGACUUUUCAAGUCCGCCGUCAAAUCCCAGGGCUCAACCCUGGACAGGUGGUGGAAACUACCAAGCUGGAGUAUGGUAGGGGCAGAGGGAAUUUCCAGUGGAGCGGUGAAAUGCAUUGAGAUCGGAAAGAACACCAACGGCGAAAGCACUCUGCUGGGCCGACACUGACACUGAGAGACGAAAGCUAGGGGAGCAAAUGGGAUUAGAUACCCCCGUAGUCCCUGUCUCUUAUAC